Molecule: ribosomal RNA, 501 nt
Filed under: uncultured Desulfobulbus sp.
Lineage: Bacteria; Pseudomonadati; Thermodesulfobacteriota; Desulfobulbia; Desulfobulbales; Desulfobulbaceae
Description: bacterial SSU rRNA
Rfam family: Bacterial small subunit ribosomal RNA
Source: RNAcentral
GCCCGCUCAAGAAACUUAAAGGAAGUGACGGGGCCCGCACAAGCGGUGGAGUAUGUGGUUUAAUUCGAUGCAACGCGAAGAACCUUACCUGGUCUUGACAUCCCGGAGACCCUUAGGAAACUAGGGGGUGCUUCCAUCUGGAAGAAUCUGGAGACAGGUGCUGCAUGGCUGUCGUCAGCUCGUGUCGUGAGAUGUUGGGUUAAGUCCCGCAACGAGCGCAACCCUUGCCUUUAGUUGCCAGCAGUUCGGCUGGGCACUCUAAAGGGACUGCCGGUGUUAAACCGGAGGAAGGUGGGGAUGACGUCAAGUCCUCAUGGCCUUUAUGACCAGGGCUACACACGCACUACAAUGGCCGAUACAAAGGGCAGCGACACUGCGAGGUGAAGCCAAUCCCGUAAAAUCGGUCUCAGUCCGGAUUGGAGUCUGCAACUCGACUCCAUGAAGUUGGAAUCGCUAGUAAUCGUGGAUCAGCAUGCCACGGUGAAUACGUUCCCGGGCCUU